CAGGAUAUAGCUUAGAUAGAAAAGCACUUCCCUUACACCGAGGAGACAUCCGUGCAAAUCGGAUUAUUCUGAC
This 73-nucleotide transfer RNA is filed under the name Canthigaster valentini (Valentinni's sharpnose puffer). RNAcentral describes it as "tRNA-Val". It matches the Rfam family "tRNA". From Rfam's summary of the family: Transfer RNA (tRNA) molecules are approximately 80 nucleotides in length. Their secondary structure includes four short double-helical elements and three loops (D, anti-codon, and T loops). The record is from RNAcentral. Lineage: Eukaryota; Metazoa; Chordata; Actinopteri; Tetraodontiformes; Tetraodontidae.